Molecule: long non-coding RNA, 1435 nt
Organism: Aethalodelphis obliquidens (Pacific white-sided dolphin)
Lineage: Eukaryota; Metazoa; Chordata; Mammalia; Artiodactyla; Delphinidae
Exons: 4
Source: RefSeq, a predicted model, not a curated record
CUGUCAAACCCGGGCCGGCUAUUUAUACCCCGCGGGACCCGCCGCCCUCGGCCCCCACCAGCCCGCCCACCAGGCCUCGAUGGCUCUCUCGAAUCUCGCCCGCCCUGUAGCCCCCAACUUCUCCCAAGCACGCCUUCUCAGCUCACAUCUUUCAAAAGGACCACGUGGAGAGAGAGAAAGGGAGACUCUCAGACGGCAGCAUCACCGAAAUAACCUUUCCAGUGAAUGAGAUAGAUGACAGAGGUGUCAGCCAGAUAGAGCUCUGUGGACCCAGUGCGCAUCCGAACAAUUUACCUCGUUCUCAAAGAAAACCAGCUCUGGAAGAGCUUGACAUGAUUGGGAGCAAAUCUAGUAGAAAAAGAAAAGAAAGCAGCAUUUGGGACAGAGACACUCAUAGAAUGGAGAAUGAGGGUCGCAUCAAGGCCACACUGUGAACGGCCACUCAGGGUUCUUUCCCAGCCUGACCCUCAACUUCAGCCCUGUUCCCUGUGACCCAGACUCAAAUGGACAAAGCCCAGUCCCAGACUCCCAGAUCUGACCUUCUGUACUGUGAGAAGUGAGGGUAAAGUCGCCAUCACUUUACAAAAGUUUGUUUGUAAAGUGUCCUUGACCUUGACUCCAAUUAAAUUAUAUUGCGACCAGUGGAACACAGGUGUCUUAGUUAUUUCUCAUGUUCCCCAAACUGAUAAGUUCCAGAGAUAUGAUUCUCAUGGUGAAGAGGGAAAUUUGCUUCCUCAUGAAAUUGUGAUUUUUACCAAAAUAUCAACUUUAAGGACGCCAAAAUGAAAGUGAACCGGUACCUACUAUGUUCAUUACUUGCAUAGCAUAGAGCUCUGUCCUGGGAGUUUGGGGGUCUAGGUUUCCAUACUCAGAUUUGCUAACUGGAUUUGUGACUUAUGACAAGCCACAUAUACUCUCUAAGCCUGAGUUUUCUCAUCUGUGAAAUGAAAAUUAUAAUAUCUACCUUAUCUUCCCCGAAGUUUGUUGUUAUGAGGAUUGAAUGAGAUAACAUAUAAAAAUGGUUGUAACCUAGAAAGCCAAAGGUGUUACUAACCGAUGUAAAAUUAAACCAUCCCUUUUGGAUUUGAAAAUGAAACCAUUUGGGAACCCAAUUUCACGUUUGACAUAGUAAAAAGGGUUCUGUUUGUUAUAAAAGUUUAGCAGCAGUGUAACCACUAUAACUGUCCCCAAGGGCUUAGAGACAGACACCUUAUAAACCAUCAUGAUCGAGACGUACAAGGAGAAAAGUUUCAGCUGCAGUGAAAUCAAACGGUCCCCAGAUCUGAACGGUCUAUGUAAGAUUUUUUUCUAAUAAUGUUUAAAUUUUUAAAUUGUGGUAAUCAAUACAUAAUAGAAAAUCUACCAUCUUAACUAUUUUUAAGUGCACAGUUCAGUAGUGUUAAGUAUUGAUACAUUCACAUUGUGGUGCACAGAC